This 253-nucleotide ribosomal RNA is filed under the name uncultured bacterium. RNAcentral describes it as "partial 16S ribosomal RNA". It matches the Rfam family "Bacterial small subunit ribosomal RNA", at positions 524 to 776 of the family's 1533-position model. The record is from RNAcentral.
UAUGGGGGGAGCAAGCGUUGUUCGGAUUUACUGGGCGUAAAGCGCACGUAGGCGGAUCGAUCAGUCAGGGGUGAAAUCCCAGAGCUCAACUCUGGAACUGCCUUUGAUACUGUCGAUCUGGAGUAUGGAAGAGGUGAGUGGAAUUCCGAGUGUAGAGGUGAAAUUCGUAGAUAUUCGGAGGAACACCAGUGGCGAAGGCGGCUCACUGGUCCAUUACUGACGCUGAGGUGCGAAAGCGUGGGGAGCAAACAGG